Etheostoma spectabile (orangethroat darter) is the source of this 1564-nucleotide long non-coding RNA. RefSeq lists it as uncharacterized. The record is from RefSeq and is a predicted model, not a curated record. The transcript has 4 exons. NCBI's taxonomy places the organism in Eukaryota, Metazoa, Chordata, Actinopteri, Perciformes, Percidae.
UUUGCAUAAAAGGAUAAUAGUGCCUUAAUCAUAACGUGAUUCAUCAAUAACUCUAUGUAAUGCAUCCGUACCAUAGAAGAGAAAGGUAGAAAGGUAGUAAUUAGCAUUGUAGGGAUGCAAUCGACAUGUUGCACAUAGAAAUAUUAUAUUGUAAAUUAAUGUCUUGAAUGUACAGUAAGACGUCUUCCUGGUUGGUGUUUUGAGAGGAAAUAAAUAUGAAAGAAUAUGAAGAAAUCUUUAUUUUAAAUGAAAGCUCAAAGUGGACAAUACUGCUGAUUUGUCUGUAAAAUAAAUGUUUUGUUUUCUUGUUUUGAAUUGACUUUUAAAGAUGUAUUAUUUUAUUAUAACACCCGUUAAUAUCCCGUGAACUUAAGAUCCUUUAAAAUCGGAUUAAAGGUGCACUACGAGUUCCUGCACGGUCACUUGUGUUGAUGUGGCAAUUCUCUCCGACCAAUCAGCAGUCUGCAGUGAUUAGAGACAAUUCUCUCCGACCAAUCAGCAGUCUGCAGUGAUUAGAGAGGAUUCUCUCCGACCAAUUAGCAGUCUGCAGUGAUUAGAGAGGAUUCUCUCCGACCAAUCAGCAGUCUGCAGUGAUUAGAGAGGAUUCUCUCCGACCAAUCAGCAGUCUGCAGUGAUUAGAGAGGAUUCUCUCUGACCAAUCAGCAGUCUGCAGUGAUUAGAGAGGAUUCUCUCCGACCAAUCAGCAGUCUGAGACGAUUCUCUCUGAGGUAGUACUACAUAAAGUACCUGUUAGCAGGUACCUGGGACUUUUUAUUUCAAUGUAAAACCAGUAAAAGGCGAGUAGACGUCAUUGUAGACACAAAAACCUGGAAAACCAGGAUCAAGGUUGAAAAAAACCAAUGGGAAAAACAGAAUAAAAACAUUCACUUCACUACAGAUGAUUAUCUGUCUUUUUUCUAACGAUCUCAGAUAUUUGGGGGAAAAAAAGUACUUGUUAGCAGGAACCAGGGGCAAAAAAAGACGAGUAAAGUCGAGUAGAUACCGUGCAGUGGAAAGACGCCAUUACUGACUAGCUGUCACUUAGCCCCGCCCCCUCCCGCACCCAUCUUCUCAGUGAUUGGCUGGAGUGGUUUGUUGUUGUAUUUCGGGGCCCAUCCUGCGCAUUUAGUGUUUUUCUGAUGUUGUCUUCCGAGACCGGGGAAAGGAAGUGUAGUCGGGGGUGGGGGGGUAGUGAGCGCCUACGAUUGGAGACAAAAAUGCAGGAACUCAUAGUGCACCUUUAAUGCUCUGUUUGAAGCCUUUUAACACCACUGACUUUUGGUUUUGACAUUUUGUCUUUUACAAAAAGAGCUAAACAUGAAACUUAGCUGACUUGAAAGUCAAUUUUUCGUUAGUAGAACAAAAAAAAAAAAUUCAACUCACUAGGACAUUCAACAGAAUCUGAGCUUCUGAGUUUGAGAUGAAACAAGCCUGAGAGAAAGAUUGCAUAAAAAGAAGCUCAAAAUAAUAAUAAUCACAGACCUAUACCGGCAUGAGUGUAACAUAUGCAAUUAGUGUCCCUGUGUUUGAGGCCCGUCCUGUGUUCAUUCACCGAACUGUGUUU